Molecule: transfer RNA, 43 nt
Filed under: Valeriana officinalis (common valerian)
Lineage: Eukaryota; Viridiplantae; Streptophyta; Magnoliopsida; Dipsacales; Caprifoliaceae
Description: partial tRNA-Leu
Source: RNAcentral
GACUUUAGAAAUCGUGAGGGUCCAAGUCCCUCUAUCCCCAAAA